UACGUAGGGUGCAAGCGUUAAUCGGAAUUACUGGGCGUAAAGCGUGCGCAGGCGGUUUUGUAAGUCUGUCGUGAAAGCCCCGGGCUCAACCUGGGAAUUGCGAUGGAGACUGCAAGGCUUGAAUCUGGCAGAGGGGGGUAGAAUUCCACGUGUAGCAGUGAAAUGCGUAGAGAGGUGGAGGAACACCGAUGGCGAAGGCAGCCCCCUGGGUCAAGAUUGACGCUCAUGCACGAAAGCGUGGGGAGCAAACAGG
RNAcentral lists this ribosomal RNA (253 nucleotides) under uncultured bacterium. Its description in RNAcentral is "partial 16S ribosomal RNA". It matches the Rfam family "Bacterial small subunit ribosomal RNA", at positions 524 to 776 of the family's 1533-position model. The record is from RNAcentral.